AUUUUAGGCUGUGGUUGAAAAUGUGAGCUUGCAGCUUCUUGCCCCUGCCUUUGUUUCACAAUCAUGGACCCAACUCUCUGGAACCAUGGGCCCAGAUCAACUCUGCAGCUUGCUUGUCUGUGUGCACUCUGGCUGUGCAGGUGCCCAAUCAAGCCAGAAGAAUGCACUGGACCUCCUGCAGCCGUGCACUCCGACUCUGGUGCUUAGAGCAGAGCCCAGAUCUCUGCAGGAGCGUAACUGCGGAGUCACCUCUCUAGCCCGCCCAGUACUUUCUUUUUUUCACAUUAACUUUAUUUUAUGGGACUGCGCAGGUGAUCUCAUUUAUGGGACUGCGCAGGUGAUCUCAUCAGCUCCCUGAGCGCCCACAGUCUGAGAGAAUUCCUGAUCUGCCCUGUUUGACUUUGUGGUCCAUUCGUCCGUCUUCUACCUUGCUCAGUGCCCACGUGAGGCUGAGUGGAGAAUCAAUGGCUUCCUACUUAUGGGUUUCUGAAACACUGGGAACUACUGCGUCCAUCUUCAAAGGGUUCUGAUGAUCUGACCUCCAGUCCACAAGCUUGCAUUGCACCAAGUAUGUUUCCCUGCUGGAAUGAAACUCCCAUUCUUUCCUCUGGUGAUGUGACUGCUUGCUGAC
This 631-nucleotide long non-coding RNA is filed under the name Rattus norvegicus (Norway rat). RNAcentral's name for it is "long non-coding RNA NONRATT016236". The record is from RNAcentral. Lineage: Eukaryota; Metazoa; Chordata; Mammalia; Rodentia; Muridae.